GGGGCUGUAGCUCAGUUGGGAGAGCGCUUGAAUGGCAUUCAAGAGGUGGUCGGUUCGAUCCCGAUCAGCUCCA
This 73-nucleotide transfer RNA is filed under the name Candidatus Magnetovum chiemense. Its description in RNAcentral is "Candidatus Magnetoovum chiemensis tRNA". It matches the Rfam family "tRNA". From Rfam's summary of the family: Transfer RNA (tRNA) molecules are approximately 80 nucleotides in length. Their secondary structure includes four short double-helical elements and three loops (D, anti-codon, and T loops). Lineage: Bacteria; Pseudomonadati; Nitrospirota; Nitrospiria; Nitrospirales; Nitrospiraceae. The record is from Rfam by way of RNAcentral.